This is a long non-coding RNA of Cotesia glomerata, 662 nucleotides long. RefSeq lists it as uncharacterized. The transcript is spliced from 2 exons. NCBI's taxonomy places the organism in Eukaryota, Metazoa, Arthropoda, Insecta, Hymenoptera, Braconidae. The record is from RefSeq and is a predicted model, not a curated record.
AGCUGCUAAAUUCUAGACUAAUUUUUUUAAACAACUUAUUAUUCAAUGUGAAUUUUUUGUGAAUUCAAACUGCCAGUGUAGAUAGAUGAAGUAAUUAUUAUUCAAAAUCAAACGAUAAAGUUUCAUUCAAAGUUCAAAUUUUUGUGGUGAGACUUUGCUAGUGGGUCUAAUACAAGAACAAGAAAAAUUGUCUGCUUAUUCACGAGAAGUCAAUUUUGUAAUCCAAGAGACUACGACCAAAUUCUGUGUUCAAAAUCAUCGAUCGUCGGCUUUCAUCAUUAAUUCAUCGAUACGACGAUCAAAUUUAAUCUCAUAUUUAUACUCAGAUAAUUUAUUUAUAAUUUUUUCGAUUAAAAUACAAUAGAUCAUCAUGUUUCCGUGGUGGAGCUAUCCACUUGUGGUAUUCGGAAUUUUGAUACUUUUGGCGAUCAAACUUUGCAUACAAAAUUCAAAUCAAAACCAUCGAAUUGCUCCGCGUUAAUUUAAUAUAAACGACCUUUUUUUGUAAAAUGUGUAAGUUCUGCGUUUACAAAGAAUUAUGUAAUACAUAUUAAAAUGAUCGAACUCUUACUUAGUGUUAACAUGUACUAUCUUCAGUUAAUUCUAAAUUUUACAUUGAAUAUUGUUGACAUAAAUUUUGCUAUUAGUUUUUUAAUUGAAGA